AAUGAACGCUGGCGGCAGGCCUAACACAUGCAAGUCGAACGAGAGCUUCGGGUGUGCUGGCGCAUGCGUGUGUAGAGUGUGGGAACCUGCCGUUAGGUUUGGAAUAACUCUUUGAAAGGGGUGCUAAUACCGGGUAAUUUAUGCGAACCAAAGAUAUAUCGACUUUGGUUGGGCCGGAGUUGGAUUGGCUAGUUGGUAGGGUAAAAGCCUCUCAGGGCGUCGAUAGAUAGCUGGUUAGAGAGGCACCUCAGCCACACUGGGACUGGGACACGGACCGGAGUACUACGGGAGGCAGCAGAGGGUAAUAUAGCACCAUGGCGGGAAGGCUGAUCCAGUAAUGGCGUGUGAGUGCUGAUGGCGUUAGGGUUAUAAAGCGCUUUUAACCGCCAUGAUAAUGACAGUACCGAAAGAAUAAGCUCCGGCUAACUCCGUG
This 433-nucleotide ribosomal RNA is filed under the name uncultured bacterium. Its description in RNAcentral is "partial 16S ribosomal RNA". It matches the Rfam family "Bacterial small subunit ribosomal RNA", at positions 29 to 507 of the family's 1533-position model. The record is from RNAcentral.